UUCAACUAGAGCUUAGAAUUACAACAUUUAUUUGGGAAUUUACGGAAUUAAUUCUUGUAGUUGGGUGACAUAAAACAUAGUAUCAUUUAGGAUUUCACUAUAAGUAUAAAAAAUAUUGCGCUUCUCUUGCCUCCAGUUGAUUAAAAUCUUAGUUAUCAUGCAAAGCUUCAUUCUUGGAUAUGUUCAAUUUGACACUAGUAUGAUUUGAGACACUUAAGUUGUGUUCUAGUAUUAACCAAAGAACUUUAUCGAGGCCAUUUUUAAUUGGCUUUGAA
RNAcentral lists this long non-coding RNA (275 nucleotides) under Carica papaya (papaya). RNAcentral describes it as "long non-coding RNA (CPAP_LNC002894)". The record is from RNAcentral. Lineage: Eukaryota; Viridiplantae; Streptophyta; Magnoliopsida; Brassicales; Caricaceae.